CCGGCUGCCGGGCUCCGGUGCCACGGGAGAAGCUCUCCAACGUGUCCUUCUGGCAUCGCUGGGAAUGAUGGUUCCUUUAAGCUCUUACAAAUUGCAGAAGUUGAGGAAGACAGAGAAAUAAUUACUGUAUUAAAACAAGCAGCGAAUUCCUCAGGAGGCACCUUAUCAACUCCAGCCACACUGGCUUCAUCCCUCCUCGUAUGCUAAUACCCCUUGACGUCAUCGGCGCCAGAUUGAAUGUGAAUCAGUUAUGAAAUUAUUAGUUUUAGCUUAAAAAGCAAUCUGGCUCUCCCGUGAGUGGGCUUUGCGUUGGCUGCGGGUUCUCGCUCCAUGUCCUCCCCAUGUUGUGCACACACGGUAGUUGCGACUAUCCUGUCGCAAUGAAUCAAUAUUUCCAAAGCACGCAUCCUAACAGGGGGUGAUGUAAAGAAACCCAUAGAUUAAUUGAGUCCCGUUUCUGAGUCGGCUGUGUCUUCCUUAUCGAUACACACUUUACACCCGAAACCAGACAGUCGGAUUUCCUCCUACUUUUCAGGGUCUGUGUCAUCUCCUCCCGUGAGAGGCAACUCAGCAGCCUGGUCCCCUCUGCCAUCUCAGCACUGCCAGUGGAGAAGCCCAGGAGGAGCAGAGCAGUGGCUGUGCAGCAAUUUGAAUAUCCAUAUUUAACUCUUCAAACAACAGAAGAUACUUCAGAACCAUGUUAAGAAGGAUAAGCUUGGAGUGCCCAGUCACCGUGGUAACUGCCAGAAAAAUUCUCCUGAAGUUUGAAGAGGUCAGCUAACGGGGUCAACAACUCUGGCCUCUCUCUGAGCUGGGCCUGCCAGGCUCCAUCCUGCGGUUGGGGUGUUAGCGCAGGCUGAGCCCUGGGAGGUGGACCAUUCCAGCUCUGAUAUAAAUUUUUUGAGUCAGUUCACGGCCUGGACUCUCCAGGUGGCCUCCAAAAUCGAUUGUGACCUUGUGACCCUGUCUAACGGAGGCAUAGCAUCCAACCUAAGUAAGGAUUUAGCCAGGAACGACAGCUUUCCACUGAGUGUUAUUGGGGACAGUACAAACAAUUUGGGAAGCAAGGAGGUAGGUAUGAGGAGUAGAGGUCAUUAAAAGCAUAUUAAAAAACAAUUUAAAAAAUCCUUUUUAGUUGAAAGUUUUUAUUUGCAGUAACUAUUCCUUAAAUAUACCCUUUUGGUAACUAUUUUUUCCUUCCAUAACAACAUUGUAUCAAGUACUUCAGUGCAUUAAUAUAUGAAAUACCAUCACUUUGAUUAUCCCAAACCAAACUAACAUUUUAUCUACCUCUGGAUUUUGAACUUGUAAAUGAAGCUGACUGACAUGUGUUAACCUAGAUAUCUGUGAAGUGUUUUUUUCCUUAAUAUCAUACAAACUAGGAGACUGCUUAUUAAAGUGGGCUAUUUAUUUUAGGUAGUAAUUUCCCUAAUAUACACAUUCUUUUUAGAUUCAAAAGUCUCUUAUGCCCUGUAAUCUAUUUUUAAACUGAGAAAUUAGGUAACAUUCAGAAUAGUGUGGAAUGAAAGUGUGAGAGUUUCACAGAGUUUUCCUUUGCUGGUUUGCAGUACAAAUAGAAAAGCCACAAAACUGAUUAUGUAUUUUUAUAGGAAAAAAUUUGAUCAUGCUAAGAUCGUAUUCAUAGAUAAUAUGAUAUUUUUUUCCUUUAAGAUUUUAAGCAACAAACUAUGUGGGGGAGGGAGAGGCUGUUGCAGCGUUUUCUUAUUGAAUCUAGAAACUUGCCCUUCUGAGCAAGUGGAUUUGCUCUUUGGUUUUAUUCCCACCGCUACAAAACCUCGUGCAUUGCUCACGUGAGUAAUUGGUAGUUGUCAGGUGAGUAAGUGGAACUACACUGAGGAACAAAGUCCAGUCUCUGAGCUGGAAAGUGCUAUCAGAUUUUAAGUGACUUUAAAACUGCUCUGAAGGAAGAAAAUUGCUUUAAUAUUUGUUCCCAGUCUUAGAAAAAUUGUGCAGUGAGAACCUUGCCCAAACACUUUCUGUGCUUGGCAGGGCAUGGCUCUGACAUCUUUCUUCCCAGCCCCUUCCCAGUCGAGAAGUUCCCCUGAGGCUGGAGGACCUGCACAGAGACAGGGCCAUAAAAUAUAGUUCUGGAAGAGCAUCUGAGCUGUGCUAAACAUCAUUGUACUGCUGAGAAGUCCCACAGGUCACAACAGCAAGAAUAUCUAACUUUUACUUGCAGUAACACCUUACUCUGCAGAAAGUCCCCCAAAAUCCAUGGAUAUCUGUUGGCCAAGGUCCUGCCUCUUAUAGAGUCAUCAUAAUCUGCUCCAGUGGGAGCAGGUUUGAAGCCAGAAGGAGUAAGAAAUGGGGCUGAAUUUUGCCAUAAAAUAAUUUAAGGCCCACACUUGAACAUUCAGAUAUCCACGGUGACACUAUUUGAUUCUAUCCUGAAUACGAAUAAUAGUUUGGGUUUGCUGGUGAUUUUUUAACAGAGCUCUGCUGAAAAGAAUUUAUUCCCAUUAGGAAGUGUCUUGAUGCAGGGGAGUGCCUUCUGUGAUUGAGUUUGGGAGGAUGGAGCCUACAGCCCUUGGUGAGAACCAGAAUAUUUGCUUGUUUUUCAGAAAAAAAAAUUAAAAUAGAACUGUGAAUAGCUGGAAGGUGAAUCUUCAAUAUUUUCAAAAGCAUUUGUGGAAUUUUUAACAGAUUUAAAAAAACCAUGUACUUACAUCUGCUUUGUAAUAUCAGCACUCAGGGACCAAGUUCAACUUGAAAAACAAGGGAUCACUUCUGAAAACAGGUAGAACUAUUCCACUGGAACUUUUGGACCAGAAUUGCCCCAAAUUUGCCCUAAAGCCUCCAGCUUGGAAUGAGGAAUUGUUAGCAGAGGGAACAACAAGGAGAUCUCAAGAGCUUGGACUUGCUGCAAAUUCUUUAGCUUUGACUUCUGUAGAUCCUAUUGAAUUUAUAAUCGGCUGCAAAUCUACAAAUGUCACUUGGAACGGGUCCUGGUCUUGCAUGUUUUGUACCUCUUCACAUUGCUCAGUUCAUCCACAUCCAAGGAUGUGGAGUGCCUAGAGGUGCCUAUGUUAGCAGUAGCUGCAGUGGGACAAUUCUUCUUCUUCCCCAUCAGUGCAGUGAAGUGCUCAGUCAGCUUCAUUUGGGUUCUUGGUAAACUCUCUGAAGUGCAGGCUCUUUGGGUUUCAACAGAGGGAUGUCUGUGAAUGGGCUUAGUGCAGUGUUAGAGGUAAACCAACAGAAUCACCAAAGUCUGUGGUGGUUCCCAGUCCCUGCCCUAUGGACCACAGAUGAUCCAUGAGGCCUUUGCAAAUUCACUGCAGCUGGUCUGUGGAAUUGUUUUACAAAGUAAUGUUCAUAGUUUCAAUUAAAAUUUUUAUGAGAAGAAUAUGUGGCUGUCUGCAAGAAAAUCUGAGUUCUGAGGGUAAUCUGCUACCUGAAAGCUCAGAGGAUGUUUGCUCUACAGGAAUAUGUCGCAGCCCACAGGCCACGAGGUGUUAGGAGGUAUUUUGUUAAUGUUUUCAAAUUAAACACAUGCCCAGUUAAAUGAAUAUAUUACUCAUGCAAACAAACAAAACAGCAAAAAAAUCCACUUCAAAAUAAAACAAAGAAAAUAAAAGUAAUAAAUGGACACUGAAGCCUCAGCCUAGUUUGUGUUUGCUCCAAACCCCACAUUCCCAGUACCCUGCAGAGACAGAGAAGCUCUGCUUUAGAGAGUAGCAUGUUGCCACAGCCUGGAUCAGGGCUGGAAAAGGUCUCUGGGUUCUGGAGGAAGCAGGGAGGGCAGAUGAGCACCGGGACUUAGAGGUGUGCUGACAAAAGGUCCUAAACAAGUGCUGUGCUUCCGUCUGCUUUUACUUCUUCCUCUCUGCCUUGAGAGUGUGUGGCUGGUGCCCAGAGGAAAAGUCAAACUAAUUCUGAUGCUUUUUCCUAUUCUGGGUGCACUAAUUCAGAGAAAACACUUAUGGCAGCCUUUGUGGAAAGGUUACAAUAUAGGUUGAUACUUUAGGAACUAUAGGAAGUUCUUAAUCCUUCCCUGCCUAUGGGGUUGUCCUUUCUAGACCUGCUCUUGUCUCAUCUUUUAUAAGGAUGUUUCCUUAUGUUAAGGUUCCAAGAGCAACCAGACUUUGCCAUUGUUCACAGCUAUUUCUGUUUGUGGCUUAAUGCACAUCUAGUAUUCUGUUUAUGCUUUCACUGCUCUCCUACACAGCAGACUGUACCUACACACCAGCUUAGGUGACAUCACUCUCAAAGCAUUCAUUUCUGUGGUUCUUUUUUUCUCCCUGAUUAGUCUGUGCAUCUUGAUUUUGCAUUAGCCUAGUUUAUUACAGGUAACAUGAUAAAGUACAUGGAACUUUAUGCAUUUAGUUGGUCAUUUCAUGGUCAGUUCUUGUUUGAUAUACUUGUUUAUAAAAAAGCUUUUAGGUGUUUUUUUUAUAAAAACAAAACCCCUCUUACUACAUAAGAAGAAGGAAUUCAGCCAUGAGCAGAAAAAACUGAAACAUAGAUAAUUUUGAAUGUAUAAAAUUUAGCUUGAUGUUAACAGGGGUUUAAUUACUGGAUUUUUUUUUUUUUUUUAUUGCUAUUGCUAUUCAUAAAGACAUCCAUUGUUUUCUGCUUUGAUUUAUGUCCAGAUCAGCCCCCUUCAGAACCCCAUUUCUGGCAAUCUCAGCAACACGUGGGGGCUGGCAGCUUCUGCAGACAUUGCCAUCUUCUCUCACUGCUCCUUCUUCUGUGCUGUUCCACCAGCUCCACAUCCUGUCAUUCCUCAGGAGCCCUUAAUGAUGAUGGCCUUUCCUCCAUCAUCUGCUCCAUGGCCCUUCCAGAACCAGGGGAUUUUGUCAAAGUUUUCAAACCAGUUUAGAAAUAGAUACUGAAAUAAAGGCAGGUGAUGUGACGGUGGGGUGAUGUUGUGUUACUGCCUUCCUGUCCUGCAUGGGAAGAUUACAGACCUUCUCCAGCACUCAGCUCUAUGGCCAUACAAUGAGAAUAAUAAUAACACCAUCUUUGCAAAGUGCUUUUAUAUCUGAAAGAUUUGAUGCAAAUUAAAAGCUACAUAGGUUUUGUCAGACCUAACUUUACCCAGCACUUCACCUUCUCCACUGCCCUCUCAGCUGCUCAAGAUUUGCCAAUAAGCCUUUUAGAGUCAUUGCUUUUGCAUCAUACCUUGCAAAAAAUUACAUUUGGGCUUUUAAGCUACCCAUGUCUCAUAACAUACAUAGCAGCCCUAAUAUAUCCUUUUCCCACAUGCAUCCUAGCUUUCCUAAAAAAAGCACUCCAACGCUGAACAAACUACAAACAGCCUGAUGAUGCAGGGUGUGGAGAGCCCUGCAACCUUUGUGUGCUCAAGGCACAGCUUUAUCCCAGCCAUCAGUGGGACAGUACACAUGGAAAUGUGUGAUCUAUUCCUUCCCGAGCCCCAGUGAUGCCUUGCUUUGCAGUUCCUCUCGCUGGUUCUCAUAUCCUGGCAAGAUGCUACAAACCCCAUGCGACAAAGAUCAGAGGGAAAUACUUAUUUGAAGAAACCUCUGUCAUUAGCUGUGCUGGACAGAGGGCUGUGGUUGUCAGCUCCUCAGAGUUGUAGAGGCCAGAAGCCUAAAAGCACUGCAGCAUCGUUGUGCCUGCACACACACCAUGCACCCCUGUAGCUGCAGUGUCCUGCAGUGCCCUGCAGCAUCCCAUGGGCAUGCAUGAAGCAGCCACCUCUGGAUGCCAGGAGCUCACUGUGAUCAACCCCCUGCCUGUGAAACACAGGUGAGCACAACACUGAGGUAACAGGUAAGAUAUUUGCAUUCAGUGGGGUACUCAGAAAACCAGGUACUUGCUGCAGUGUUUCUGUAGUGUGGACAAAUCGGAGACCCUGGGACUUUAGUCAGACCAGGCACGGGUCAGGGACUGAAAUAUUUGUCCCACACCUACCGCAGCAAAGUUGUGGUUGUUGACUUGAGUGAUAGGGGAGUAGAGGACUGGGAUGUCUCAGCCCAAACUCCUUUAAGCUUUGGCUUGAUGGAUGAGGUCUUGAACACAGCCAGAGCCUAUGACAUUAAAGGCUUUAUAAAAGCAACAGUGCCAGUUUAAAAGCAACCUCCCACAUUACCAGCAGCCCCAGCAGGUGUAACGUGAUCCAGGUAGCCCAAGCCAGGGAGUAAACAAACUGCUGCUUUCUGAAUGAGCUGCACCAGAGAAAUGCUUCUAACUGGGAGUUACAGUGGCUGUUUGCACUAAGUGAGCUGUGUAAAUGAACAGGCUCCUAUGAUUCUAAUUCUGUGAAAAUGAAUGGGCUCCUAUGAUUCUAAUUCCUAUUCCACACAGGUUUCCCCCUCUACACCCAAAAUGAAGUAGGCAAAAAACCACAGGGAAAAACUUCCCUGAUAAGCCUGUAAGGUUUAGUGGGAUUGGGCCUGAUCUAGCUGCUUGAACUUCGGUGGGGUCUGUUGCUGGGUUUCUUUAAGCUAAAGAAAACAAUCCUGCUGCUUCCAAACUGCCAAGUCAGUCAGAGGAAUUUAAUAUUGUCCCCAAAGAAGCUACUUUGCUGCUCUUCUGUUAGGUUCCCAGUUCCAUUUCCAGUAAGCAGUAUUAACUUAGGGGCUUUUUAGUUGGCUAUUUUUUUCUCCUUCAGUUCCAGCUCUUAAACCUUCAGAGAGCCUUGCUGUGCAGACCAGCUGAACAGAGGCUGAAUGUACCAUUUUAGAUCCUCUCAGUGUUACUGCCUGGCUCCCUGACUGGAGAAGUGCAUAAAAGCAAAGAAGGUGCAUCUGUCCAAGUAGAGCCUAGACCCUGACAAGUCCCAUGGGCUUGGCAGGCUCUAAGACUCACUGUGGAGUCCUUGGAAUGUGCAGACUCUGGGUACACCACACUGAGGACCCAGCAGCCCAGCUCUGCUCCAGUGUUUCUGACUCCCAGUCAGGGUCCCAUCCUGCCCCAGAGAGCCUCUCUCCCCUCCCCUGCCCACGCUCCACUUAUUCAUGAGUUAUGAUAACAUAUAAGCAGCUUAGAGAAUUCUUAUCGGAGUAAGUUGAACACAAUGCAACAUUUAACUCUUAAUGACAGCCACCUCUGACUGUGAGUGACAUAUUAUAAAUUAUGUUUGAACUGGAUUUUUUUUGUCUUCAGAGGCAGAUAUUCCCUCUGCCACCCAGUCGGCCCUGUAACGUUGCACUUGUGGCCUUAAUCCCACUUGGAUGUGUGCCCUGCUGCCUCCACUUUCCAUCACUUGGGUACUUUAGUAUUCUUGAACAAGUGAACAAUCUUUGUUUCUGUACCUUAUUAGGCCAACGACCAUAGCAGCGAGCGAUGGCAUCAGCAGGCCCUGCAGGCAGGAUUCUCUGCAGACACAGCCAACCUCCAACAAACCCCUUUUUAUCCUCCUGUUUCUAGGAAGAAUUAUGAUGGUGGUGCCCUGCUGUUGAUCAGUCAAAUCUGUGGUAGGCCUAGAGAUAAGUCCUGUAAGUGUGGUGUACUGUAAAACAGCGGCUCCCAUUCAUUAGUAGCUUGUGUGUAAUAAACCACCCAAAGGAGGGGGGUGGGGAGGGAGAGGGACGAGCAGCUGCAGUGUGCAGGAACAAACAACACAACUCAUUCUUGGGAGCCAAAACUUUCUAAUUUGCUGCUGGGCUGCUGGGAGCACUCAAAUUCUUUCUGAUAAUACGCUCGUGCCCUCAGUGUCUCUCCCGGCAUUUCCCAAGUCCUGCUCUCUUGAGGUCCCUGAGUCUGGGAUAGUUUCACUUUGAACCCAAAACACAGAGGGGAGCUGAGCGGGGAGGAGGGGAACACAUCAGUGCCCAGUGUUUGCAGACUCCGGCAUAAGAAAGCCGUGGACUCCCAGUCAUUCUGCUGGGAAUGGCUGGUGCAUGGAUCUGCUUGUGCAGUGAGUAAACAAAGCAUCACAUGGGCUGCAGAGCAAGCAGCAGACAGGGAGCAAACCCAGGGCUCUCUGGGCAUGCAGGGGGACAGAGUGUCUCAGACGCGUUACUGAUUUAGAGCCUGCUGGAAUAUUUAGGAACCUUUAUCUCCCAAGAGGUAAAAACCUCAAACAAACCUCAAAUGAGUAAUAGCUGAAAAAUUAUUUGGCUUAAUCCAUUCUAGUUUUUUUCAUAAGUUCUGGUAAGUCUUUAUAGCUUGUAGGCAUGUGAAUUUAAAUGGAGUCUGGUAAAUAUAAUGUAAGAUGUUGCAUGUGUUGAGACAUCGGCAGUUCCUAAUAUUUGCAUAGCUGUGAACACAUUGGUGCUUUUGGAUCUCAGCCUUGGACCUUCCAACUGCCUGUGGAACAUUUCAGACCAGGAUGUGAAAUUAUUGAGUGUUGCACAACUGCUCUCAUAGACCAGGCCUUUGUGCUGAUGUUUGUAUUAUCACAGGAAAAUGAAAUUAUUUUCAGAUAGCUGCUGCUCUGGAGGAGUGCUGUACCCUCACAGGAGAUGACAGUGACUGCUUUUUCACAAGGAUGUACCAGGCUGUGACAGUGCUUGGACUCUCUCCUAACAUUUGUAUAGACAAGGGCUAUUUUAAUGACAAAUUCAGGCUUGGGCCAAAAUGCAAGCACUCUUUAUGUAGACAAGGCAAAAUCACAGAUUUGAGGUUUUCCACUUUCCUGGAGGAGAUCCAUCUCCCUCCUCUCUGGGAAGAGCUGUGCUGUGAGUUUUAAGCUCUGAAGUGAGGGGGGCUUCUGCCAGACUGCUGCUUGGUAAAGUUACCCAGUGGGCUGAGAUGAAAAGUCCCUGCAGAGCAUCCACAAAACAGUGUUAAUUAAACCUGGGCACAAAACGUUUUUUUUUCAUCUUCUGAAAGUUCAGCUAGUACCAUUUAGGUAGUUCUGAUUGUGGCAUUUGGGCAUUUUUAACAAAGUCAAAGUAAUUGGACAUUUUGAUUUUCCUUCCCCAGGCUGAGGUAGGUAGGUAGGAAAGUUGAUAGCUUUAUAACCAAAACUGGCUGCUCACUGCCCAUUCCCAGCACAGAGCCUGACUUCACUAUGCUGUUUCCAGGAUUUUCAAUUAGAAUUGCAACAAGGAGCAUUUUAUGGGAGUCUCUCCAUGACUUUUCAAAGAAAAUUGCAAAGGUAACACCUCUGGUAAUUGCUGCACUGUGUAAGUAGACGAGAGAACCAUCAAUUGGAAAACUCCAGCACUGGUCAGACUGGCCUGCUCCCGGAUCGCUGGCAGCACGCAGCAGGUACCUACCUGUGGUCUUGGUGUCAGCAGGUUUGAAGUUAUAGAUGAGACCAGCAAACUGAGUGAAUGGUCUGGGUAGCUAUGAAAUCAGGGGGUGAAGGGGUUUUUUUGGAGGGUUUGAGCCCCAUCUCCAGCACAAGCAAAGCCAUGUAAUCCUUUCUUUUGCAAUUAGAACUGAAAAAUAGCCCCGGGCCAGGGCACUUGCACAAGGAGCAAUUAGAGGAGCUAGACACUGGGAAAGGCUAAAAAUAGUAAAUAAUCUGCCUCCACAGAAAUACCUUGAAUCAUUAGAAAAGGACAUUUUAUGAAUUUCCUGGGAAUCACUUAGUGCUUUAUAAUGUUCACUGUGCUCUGCCCAAAGGCGCUAUAUUCCAACUGCUGUUUGGCAGAGGUAAACAUGAGUAACAUGACUCUCUUCUUACACUUGAGACACUGAAAAAACCUGAGUAAGUCCUGAGAUUUUCAUACUUAACGAAUUGAAACUGGGGGAAAUGAAUGGAUUCAUAUUUAACUGAGAAAAAAUAUGCCCUACUGCUCUUUUAAGAGAAAAAGUCUAAUAGUUUGGGGGUAAAAAGGACAUAUUUUUAGUUAUUUAAUGGCUCAGCCCAGUUUUCUUUUAAAAAUAAUGUAUGAAUCAAUGAUAUUCAUCCAUUAGCUGAAUCCAAACUAUUAUAAAACUCUGCUUAUAGAAAGUAUAUUAUUUGAAAAAAAGGAUGACAACUGCUGACUUAUUUUGCAGCACUCCUGAGCUGGUUGAAAUAUAUGAACAAAAAAACAUAACCACAGCUGAAUAUUUUUAGUCCUUUGCAGGGACUACACAUGUUGCUAUUUAAUUAAGAAUGCCUUGAAAAGGUUGAUUUGACUGUUUCUGAUUAAGCUUCUGAUGCAGGCUUUAAAAAUGUAACAAAACUCAGACCUGAGGCUUGCAGGCAACAGUCCCAGAAUCAGCUGCUUGCUAAUAUGUGUAAGAAAGGGGUUGCAGGUUGCUACAAUGGUUUUGGGGUUUUUUUGCUGAUAACUUGUGUAAUACUGUUUGAAAAAUGCUGUGAACAUUAAACCACUUUCUGUUCUGUCUUCUUUAUUUACAGGAGAUAAUUCAGGAGGACAAAAAAACCUGUGUAAAAUGAAACAGCAAAUUGUGAGCAUCUGUGUGCACACCCGUGUUUGUCCUUGUAGCACUGCUGGCACGCUGGCUCUCAGGAGGAGUUUCAGUGACAGAUGACAAUGUAACUCUCAGUGCCUGUCCCUCUGCUUCUGUGUGGGGCCUCCUGUUUAUUCCCUGAGCUGCUCAUCCCCAUCCCAAGCAAGCGCAACGCGCUGCUGCACUGUCAGCACCUCACCAGCCUCGUGACAGGGAUGCAAUGCUGGAAUUCCGGGAGCUCUUUCCCCACUGCUAACCUGGAGCAGCAGCAAUUUUGGUGGAGCAGGGUUCUCGGGGCGUGGAAUGGCAGCAGGAGGCACCGCUGCUCCUGGAGCUCCUGCAGGAGCUGAGCACCUCAAGGGUCUCUGCAGGAGUUAAUCCAUGUCUGUGCUGGGCAUCCAAACAGGGGGUGCUUGCUCACCCAGCUGCUGGGCGUGGGGUGACUGGGGCUGGGGAGCGCAGCUCUGGGUGCUGGAAUUGCCGAGAUCCAGCCCAUCCCUUCGGCCCCGCGCGUCGCCCUGCCCGUGGGAAACUGCACAAAGUUUCUCCUAAACGUGAAUUUAAAACGCUUUCAGGCUUGACAGCCUCCUUUCAAAUAAAAACAUUUAUGUUGAGCAAAAGGCAUGUUUGCCUCUAAAAAUAAAUGGAAUUAUAGUUCUAAGAUCUGACUUAAUCCUGAAGUUCUUAGACUGCACAGUAAGUAGAAAAGAAAGAGGAUUGCUUGGAAGAGCAGGGGUGUUAGCAGGAUCAGGCUCCAUCUUACAUCUUCUUGCUCAUUUUCCUUCUGGCAUUUAAUAUACCUUUCUCAGAAGUACCACUGGCUGUUUAUAACAAAGGCAAAGUAACUUCACAUCUAUUACCUAAUUGAAAAUAACGAAGGAUGGUACAGAGAGUGCCCAUCCAGCUCUCCUGCUGGAAAAAUUGAGGAUUGCUAAACAAACAAAAAAUGCUGUUCCUCCAAAUGUAUUCUUAUACUAAAAUCAUGUCCUUUUGAAAUUAAUUUCAGGACUUUUCUCAAAUGCAUUGUAAUUAUUUGUUCUUUUUCUACACCGUUUUCUUUGUGAAAAUGUAUUUAAAAUCUGCAUUGAGGUUUCAAAGGGUCUGAGGGAAGAUGUUUACAGAAUGAUGAUGCCAUUUGCAUUUGUUAUAUUUCUGAAAAUGCAAUUUCUAAUUAGACAAUAUUAAAGUACUUUUGUAUUA
Molecule: RNA transcript, 11481 nt
Organism: Corvus hawaiiensis (hawaiian crow)
Lineage: Eukaryota; Metazoa; Chordata; Aves; Passeriformes; Corvidae
Exons: 5
Source: RefSeq, a predicted model, not a curated record